AUUAAAUGGAAUCAUGUCAUACUACCUUUUUUUGUUGGAUUGAUUUAAUUUAGCAUACUUUUAAUAUAUUUCACAUAUAUCAACUUGUUUAAAAUAACAAUUUAACAUAUAGUAAAUAAAAAUAUUGAAAUACUGUGCAUUCUUUUUACAUAAGUAUUUAAUAUGUAGACUAUAUCAUCCACUUACAGCCAGAACAUCACAUUGCUAUUAGAAAUAAUUUUUAGAUUUUUUUUUAUAACUUUCACACCUGAAAAAAGGGUUCAUGUACUUAAAAUGUAUUCAACAAACAUAAAGUUUUUCAAUAGCUGACCUUAUGUCAGCUUAAUAUAAAUUAUUAUAUUAAUGGAAAUAAAAUUUCGACUUCUCACUUCUCUUAGCCGUGAUUCCAGAAAGGGGCCUUUGUUGAAUCUGUAUUUGGCUACACCAAUAGAAGAAAGCCAGUCAACAUCAUGUUGUGAUCGUCCCUGGCUCUUUUCUUCCGAGCUGUUUAUGAAGCAGGGAUCUCACAGGAAGCUGGGCUGUAAAGUUCUGGGCAGAGAUCUUGGAUGUGAGUCAUGGAAAUGAACCUGAACUGAGAGUUGCUUUCCAAAGACUAUCUCACCACUGGGAUUCAGGCUGAACAAAGGAGUUAGAUUCAAGUCCUUUCUCCUGAACUGUGCUGACCACACCUUUCAUACCAAGAUACGUUGAUUGCACCCAGAGACCAAAGGACACCGUGAUUUGAUCCCCUGAGCUGAAUGCUUUCCAUGUUCCAGGCAGUGUGACAGUGUCUCUCACGUGAGAAAGACAGGGUCUCUAUUAUGUAGCUCUGGAUGUCCUGAAACUUGCUAUUGAGACCAGGCUGGCCUAGACCUUGUGGAUAUCUACCUGUCUCUGUUUCCUGAUCACUGAUAUUAAAGGUGUGUGCUACCA
RNAcentral lists this long non-coding RNA (912 nucleotides) under Mus musculus (house mouse). RNAcentral's name for it is "predicted gene 12610". The record is from RNAcentral. Lineage: Eukaryota; Metazoa; Chordata; Mammalia; Rodentia; Muridae.